GUUCCUUACGUCGUAACUACAAUCCCCUUCCCUUUCAUGAAUGUGACCUACCGAAUUAGACUAUUUAGCGGAUUUGUUAUCACAUAAGCAACACGACGAGUGCCACAUGUGGAGCAGGAUCUGCUUAUCCGUCCGGAGCACCUGAGAUCACCCCUAGUUUUUGGUGGGGUUCGUGUUGUUUAUUCUUUAGUUUUCUAUGUUGUGUCAUGUGUACUAUUGUUUGUCUGUUUGUCCUUUUUAUUUUUAGUCAUGGCGUUGUCAGUUUA
Molecule: long non-coding RNA, 266 nt
Filed under: Mytilus galloprovincialis (Mediterranean mussel)
Lineage: Eukaryota; Metazoa; Mollusca; Bivalvia; Mytilida; Mytilidae
Source: RNAcentral